RNAcentral lists this ribosomal RNA (253 nucleotides) under uncultured bacterium. Its description in RNAcentral is "partial 16S ribosomal RNA". It matches the Rfam family "Bacterial small subunit ribosomal RNA", at positions 524 to 776 of the family's 1533-position model. The record is from RNAcentral.
UACGGAGGAUGCAAGCGUUAUCCGGAAUGAUUGGGCGUAAAGCGUCCGCAGGUGGCUGUGUAAGUCUGCUGUUAAAUAGUGAGGCUCAACCUCAUAAAGGCAGUGGAAACUACACGGCUAGAGUGCGUUCGGGGCAGAGGGAAUUCCUGGUGUAGCGGUGAAAUGCGUAGAGAUCAGGAAGCACACCAGUGGCGCCAGCGCUCUUCUUUUCCGCAACUGACACUCAGGGCCUAAAGCUAGGUUAGCGAAUGGC